Molecule: transfer RNA, 64 nt
Filed under: human gut metagenome
Also listed under: 1 other name
Rfam family: tRNA
About the family: Transfer RNA (tRNA) molecules are approximately 80 nucleotides in length. Their secondary structure includes four short double-helical elements and three loops (D, anti-codon, and T loops).
Source: RNAcentral
UCUGUAGCUCAGUUGGUAGAGCAGGGGACUGAAAAUCCCCGUGUCGUUGGUUCGAUUCCGACCG